Molecule: ribosomal RNA, 473 nt
Filed under: Bacillus sp. (in: firmicutes)
Lineage: Bacteria; Bacillati; Bacillota; Bacilli; Caryophanales; Bacillaceae
Description: bacterial SSU rRNA
Rfam family: Bacterial small subunit ribosomal RNA
Source: RNAcentral
GUCGAGCGGACAGAUGGGAGCUUGCUCCCUGAUGUUAGCGGCGGACGGGUGAGUAACACGUGGGUAACCUGCCUGUAAGACUGGGAUAACUCCGGGAAACCGGGGCUAAUACCGGAUGCUUGUUUGAACCGCAUGGUUCAGACAUAAAAGGUGGCUUCGGCUACCACUUACAGAUGGACCCGCGGCGCAUUAGCUAGUUGGUGAGGUAACGGCUCACCAAGGCAACGAUGCGUAGCCGACCUGAGAGGGUGAUCGGCCACACUGGGACUGAGACACGGCCCAGACUCCUACGGGAGGCAGCAGUAGGGAAUCUUCCGCAAUGGACGAAAGUCUGACGGAGCAACGCCGCGUGAGUGAUGAAGGUUUUCGGAUCGUAAAGCUCUGUUGUUAGGGAAGAACAAGUGCCGUUCAAAUAGGGCGGCACCUUGACGGUACCUAACCAGAAAGCCACGGCUAACUACGUGCCAGCCGCC